CGGGAUAGCUCAGCUGGUAGAGCAGAGAC
This 29-nucleotide transfer RNA is filed under the name Doerpfeldia cubensis. RNAcentral's name for it is "partial transfer RNA-Phe". Lineage: Eukaryota; Viridiplantae; Streptophyta; Magnoliopsida; Rosales; Rhamnaceae. The record is from RNAcentral.